RNAcentral lists this ribosomal RNA (385 nucleotides) under uncultured eukaryote. RNAcentral's name for it is "partial 18S ribosomal RNA". It matches the Rfam family "Eukaryotic small subunit ribosomal RNA", at positions 592 to 976 of the family's 1831-position model. The record is from RNAcentral.
CAGUAGCGUAUAUUAAAGUUGUUGCAGUUAAAAAGCUCGUAGUUGGACUUCUGCGGGUGGCGGCCGGUCGUGCCCUUUUGUGGCGUGAACUUGGCUCUUUGCCGCCCGCAUCUUUGGGGAGAUUGUGCGUGGCAUUAGGUUGUCGUGCAUGGGAUUCUCAUCAUUUACUGUGAAAAAAUUAGAGUGUUUAAAGCAGGCCUUUGCCUUGAAUACAUUAGCAUGGAAUAAUAAGAUAGGACCGUUGUCUAUUUUGUUGGUUUACAGAUGUCGGUAAUGAUUAAUAGGGAUAGUUGGGGGUAUUCGUAUUCAGUUGUCAGAGGUGAAAUUCUUGGAUUUUCGGAAGACGCACGACUGCGAAAGCAUUUACCAAGGAUGUUUUCAUUAA